RNAcentral lists this transfer RNA (74 nucleotides) under Yoonia sp. RNAcentral describes it as "tRNA-Cys". It matches the Rfam family "tRNA". From Rfam's summary of the family: Transfer RNA (tRNA) molecules are approximately 80 nucleotides in length. Their secondary structure includes four short double-helical elements and three loops (D, anti-codon, and T loops). Further hydrogen bonds mediate the characteristic L-shaped molecular structure. tRNAs have two regions of fundamental functional importance: the anti-codon, which is responsible for specific mRNA codon recognition, and the 3' end, to which the tRNAs corresponding amino acid is attached (by aminoacyl-tRNA synthetases). tRNAs cope with the degeneracy of the genetic code in two manners: having more than one tRNA (with a specific anti-codon) for a particular amino acid; and 'wobble' base-pairing, i.e. permitting non-standard base-pairing at the 3rd anti-codon position. The record is from RNAcentral. RNAcentral also lists the same sequence under 1 other name. Lineage: Bacteria; Pseudomonadati; Pseudomonadota; Alphaproteobacteria; Rhodobacterales; Paracoccaceae.
GGCGAGUGGGCAGGUAGGUUAUGCAGCGGAUUGCAAAUCCGUCUAGAUCGGUUCGAUUCCGAUACUCGCCUCCA